This 181-nucleotide non-coding RNA is filed under the name Maridesulfovibrio gilichinskyi. RNAcentral describes it as "Desulfovibrio sp. K3S 6S / SsrS RNA". It matches the Rfam family "6S / SsrS RNA". From Rfam's summary of the family: E. coli 6S RNA was the first non coding RNA to be sequenced, but its function was unknown until recently. It consists of 184 nucleotides that fold into an extended hairpin structure with a large single-stranded internal bulge. Lineage: Bacteria; Pseudomonadati; Thermodesulfobacteriota; Desulfovibrionia; Desulfovibrionales; Desulfovibrionaceae. The record is from RNAcentral.
AUUUCCCUGGGGAGUUCGUGAUUGCCCUAUAGAUUCUGAACCAAUAUAUUGAAAAAGGGAGCAAGUAUCAUCGGAGUGGUGUGCAUGCCCGGUUUACCGGGAAGCCUGAAAUUCCGAGUACAGCGCCCACCUGUUAGACUCGGUUCUAACUUCUACGGCAACACGGCGCUCCGGGGUCCCU